CACUAUCGUUAACUGAAUACAUAGGUUAACGAGGCGAACCGGGGGAACUGAAACAUCUAAGUACCCCGAGGAAAAGAAAUCAACCGAGAUUCCCCCAGUAGCGGCGAGCGAACGGGGAGCAGCCCAGAGUCUGAAUCAGCUUGUGUGUUAGUGGAACGGUCUGGAAAGUCCGACGGUACAGGGUGAUAGUCCCGUACACCAAAAUGCACAGGCUGUGAACUCGAAGAGUAGGGCGGGACACGUGGUAUCCUGUCUGAAUAUGGGGGGACCAUCCUCCAAGGCUAAAUACUCCUGACUGACCGAUAGUGAACCAGUACCGUGAGGGAAAGGCGAAAAGAACCCCGGCGAGGGGAGUGAAAAAGAACCUGAAACCGUGUACGUACAAGCAGUGGGAGCACCUUCGGGUGUGACUGCGUACCUUUUGUAUAAUGGGUCAGCGACUUAUAUUCUGUAGCAAGGUUAACCGUAUAGGGGAGCCGCAGGGAAACCGAGUCUUAACUGGGCGUUAAGUUGCAGGGUAUAGACCCGAAACCCGGUGAUCUAGCCAUGGGCAGGUUGAAGGUUGGGUAACACUAACUGGAGGACCGAACCGACUAAUGUUGAAAAAUUAGCGGAUGACUUGUGGCUGGGGGUGAAAGGCCAAUCAAACCGGGAGAUAGCUGGUUCUCCCCGAAAGCUAUUUAGGUAGCGCCUCGUGAAUUCAUCUUCGGGGGUAGAGCACUGUUUCGGCUAGGGGGUCAUCCCGACUUACCAACCCGAUGCAAACUACGAAUACCGAAGAAUGUUAUCACGGGAGACACACGGCGGGUGCUAACGUCCGUCGUGAAGAGGGAAACAACCCAGACCGCCAGCUAAGGUCCCAAAGUCAUGGUUAAGUGGGAAACGAUGUGGGAAGGCACAGACAGCCAGGAUGUUGGCUUAGAAGCAGCCAUCAUUUAAAGAAAGCGUAAUAGCUCACUGGUCGAGUCGGCCUGCGCGGAAGAUGUAACGGGGCUAAACCAUGCACCGAAGCUGCGGCAGCGACACUAUGUGUUGUUGGGUAGGGGAGCGUUCUGUAAGCCUGCGAAGGUGACCUGUGAGGGUUGCUGGAGGUAUCAGAAGUGCGAAUGCUGACAUAAGUAACGAUAAAGCGGGUGAAAAGCCCGCUCGCCGGAAGACCAAGGGUUCCUGUCCAACGUUAAUCGGGGCAGGGUGAGUCGACCCCUAAGGCGAGGCCGAAAGGCGUAGUCGAUGGGAAACAGGUUAAUAUUCCUGUACUUGGUGUUACUGCGAAGGGGGGACGGAGAAGGCUAUGUUAGCCGGGCGACGGUUGUCCCGGUUUAAGCAUGUAGGCUGGUUGUCCAGGCAAAUCCGGAUAAUCAAGGCUGAGGUGUGAUGACGAGGCACUACGGUGCUGAAGUAACAAAUGCCCUGCUUCCAGGAAAAGCCUCUAAGCAUCAGGUAACAUCAAAUCGUACCCCAAACCGACACAGGUGGUCAGGUAGAGAAUACCAAGGCGCUUGA
This 1503-nucleotide ribosomal RNA is filed under the name Klebsiella pneumoniae. RNAcentral's name for it is "partial 23S ribosomal RNA". It matches the Rfam family "Bacterial large subunit ribosomal RNA", at positions 146 to 1693 of the family's 2925-position model. The record is from RNAcentral. Lineage: Bacteria; Pseudomonadati; Pseudomonadota; Gammaproteobacteria; Enterobacterales; Enterobacteriaceae.